GACGAACGCUGGCGGCGUGCCUAAUACAUGCAAGUAGAACGCUGAAGUCUGGUGCUUGCACUAGACGGAUGAGUUGCGAACGGGUGAGUAACGCGUAGGUAACCUGCCUCAUAGCGGGGGAUAACGUUUGGAAACGAACGCUAAUACCGCAUAACGUGAGAAGAGGGCAUCCUCUUUUUACCAAAGAUUUAUCGCUGAGAGAUGGGCUCGCGGCCGAUUAGGUAGUUGGUGAGAUAACAGCCCACCAAGCCGACGAUCGGUAGCCGGACUGAGAGGUUGAUCGGCCACAUUGGGACUGAGACACGGCCCAG
RNAcentral lists this ribosomal RNA (311 nucleotides) under uncultured bacterium. RNAcentral describes it as "bacterial SSU rRNA". It matches the Rfam family "Bacterial small subunit ribosomal RNA", at positions 28 to 334 of the family's 1533-position model. The record is from RNAcentral.